This 380-nucleotide ribosomal RNA is filed under the name uncultured eukaryote. Its description in RNAcentral is "partial 18S ribosomal RNA". It matches the Rfam family "Eukaryotic small subunit ribosomal RNA", at positions 592 to 976 of the family's 1831-position model. The record is from RNAcentral.
CAAUAGCGUAUAUUAAAGUUGUUGCGGUUAAAAAGCUCGUAGUUGGAUUUCUGCUGAGGAUGACCGGUCCGCCCUGUGGGUGUACAUCUGGCUCAGCCUUGGCAUCUUCCUGAAGAACGUAGCUGCACUUGACUGUGUGGUGCGGUAUUUAGGACAUUUACUUUGAGGAAAUUAGAGUGUUUCAAGCAAGCGCACGCUUUGAAUACAUUAGCAUGGAAUAAUAAGAUAGGACCUUGGUUCUAUUUUGUUGGUUUCUAGAGCUGAGGUAAUGAUUGAUAGGGAUAGUUGGGGGCAUUCGUAUUUAACUGUCAGAGGUGAAAUUCUUGGAUUUGUUAAAGACGGACUACCGCGAAAGCAUUUGCCAAGGAUGUUUUCAUUGA